RNAcentral lists this ribosomal RNA (495 nucleotides) under uncultured bacterium. RNAcentral describes it as "partial 16S ribosomal RNA". It matches the Rfam family "Bacterial small subunit ribosomal RNA", at positions 30 to 507 of the family's 1533-position model. The record is from RNAcentral.
UGACCGCUGGCGGCGUGCCUACUACAUGCAAGUCGAGCGAACAGACGCGGAGCUUGCUCCUCUGACGUUAGCGGCGGACGGGUGAGUAACACGUGGAUAACCUACCUAUAAGACUGGGAUAACUUCGGGAAACCGGAGCUAAUACCGGAUAAUAUAUUGAACCGCAUGGUUCACUAGUGAAAGACGGUUUUGCUGUCACUUAUAGAUGGAUCCGCGCCGCAUUAGCUAGUUGGUAAGGUAACGGCUUACCAAGGCAACGAUGCGUAGCCGACCUGAGAGGGUGAUCGGCCACACUGGAACUGAGACACGGUCCAGACUCCUACGGGAGGCAGCAGUAGGGAAUCUUCCGCAAUGGGCGAAAGCUUGACGGAGCAACGCCGCGUGAGUGAUGAAGGUCUUCGGAUCGUAAAACUCUGUUAUUAGGGAAGAACAAAUGUGUAAGUAACUAUGCACGUCUUGACGGUACCUAAUCAGAAAGCCACGGCUAACUACGUG